CGGGGUGUAGCGCAGUUUGGUCAGCGCAUCCGCCUUGGGCGCGGAGGGUCGGAGGUUCGAAUCCUCUCACCCCGACCA
This 78-nucleotide transfer RNA is filed under the name Candidatus Omnitrophota bacterium. RNAcentral describes it as "tRNA-Pro". It matches the Rfam family "tRNA". Rfam says of the family: Transfer RNA (tRNA) molecules are approximately 80 nucleotides in length. Their secondary structure includes four short double-helical elements and three loops (D, anti-codon, and T loops). Lineage: Bacteria; Pseudomonadati; Candidatus Omnitrophota. The record is from RNAcentral.